RNAcentral lists this long non-coding RNA (532 nucleotides) under Homo sapiens (human). Its description in RNAcentral is "HSALNT0365500". The record is from RNAcentral. Lineage: Eukaryota; Metazoa; Chordata; Mammalia; Primates; Hominidae.
UCAAAGACAGCCCAACUCACAGCCCAUGAGGGACCCUGAGUACUGCCUCUGACCUCUCUAUGGCAAGCCAAAUGGCCAUGGGAAGACCCCAUGGAGUGUCAGAAUGAUGCCGUUGAGGGCAAGGAUUUUAGACCGGUCAUGGAUUCUGCCUGUGCACUGGGCUCUACCACUUUCUAGCUAUCUGGCUACUAGCAAGUUACCUUAACAAUCUAAGUUUCAACCUCCCCAUUCGUGAAAUGGAGAUGAUGUCUUAGUCAUAGAAGUAGCAAGUCUACUGCAUAUCAACAGUGUAGCACUGAGCCUGGCUCUUUAUGAACUCUCGCUCUGUUACCCAGGCUGGAGCGCAGUGGGAUGAUCUCUGCUCACUGCAGCCUCUGCCUUCUGGGUUCAAGUGAUUCUCCUGCCUCAGCCGCAUAAGGAAACAGGCCGAGAGACGCAAGUCAAACAGCAAAGGAUGGUCUGCUGUCUGUCUGACUCCAAUGCCAAUGGUCUUUCCUCUAUAACCUAAAGCAAUAAAACCCCUGCAACAUCU